Molecule: long non-coding RNA, 473 nt
Organism: Octopus bimaculoides (California two-spot octopus)
Lineage: Eukaryota; Metazoa; Mollusca; Cephalopoda; Octopoda; Octopodidae
Source: RefSeq, a predicted model, not a curated record
UCUCCCUGCCUAACUGUCUGACUGUUAACAUUGUGCCAUUAGUGAAGAUCAGAAAUGACAUCAUCAUAAACAACAUUAUCCACCACAACAUGACACAUCUGAGAAACAUAGGAAGAAGGAUACCUUUCUAUUAGAUGUUUACAGAAAGAUGCAACUGGUUCACACAUGUAAUGAUUCUAAAUAGUGGAGCCAGCUGUGGAGUUUUUGUUGGAAGAAAAAAAGGUUAAUUAAAAACAAAAGAAAUAGAAAAUGACAGUAACAGAAGGGACAAAAGAACAGCAGCAACAACAAUAAUGAGAAGAGAAAAAUAAAAGCCUUUAUGGGCUUUGACAUCUCCACACUGAACAGAAGAUAUCUGUUCUGAAUUUUCCUUCUUAUAUGGAGAAGUAUCUGCAGAAAGAUGAUAAUUCUGUGACUGGUAAUUCCAGAGUGAAAGAUUAUUCUACACAUUCAAACAUAACCACAAUAACAAA